GGGGAUAUAGCUCAGAGGUAAGAGUGUUCGACUGCAGAUCGAAGGGUCCCCGGUUCAAUCCCGGGUGUCCCCU
Transfer RNA from Drosophila busckii, 73 nucleotides. It matches the Rfam family "tRNA". Rfam says of the family: Transfer RNA (tRNA) molecules are approximately 80 nucleotides in length. Their secondary structure includes four short double-helical elements and three loops (D, anti-codon, and T loops). Further hydrogen bonds mediate the characteristic L-shaped molecular structure. tRNAs have two regions of fundamental functional importance: the anti-codon, which is responsible for specific mRNA codon recognition, and the 3' end, to which the tRNAs corresponding amino acid is attached (by aminoacyl-tRNA synthetases). tRNAs cope with the degeneracy of the genetic code in two manners: having more than one tRNA (with a specific anti-codon) for a particular amino acid; and 'wobble' base-pairing, i.e. permitting non-standard base-pairing at the 3rd anti-codon position. The record is from Rfam. NCBI's taxonomy places the organism in Eukaryota, Metazoa, Arthropoda, Insecta, Diptera, Drosophilidae.